CCUACGGGAGGCAGCAGUGAGGAAUAUUGGUCAAUGGACGAGAGUCUGAACCAGCCAAGUAGCGUGAAGGAUGACUGCCCUAUGGGUUGUAAACUUCUUUUAUAAAGGAAUAAAACGAGGCACGUGUGCCUUUUUGCAUGUACUUUAUGAAUAAGGAUCGGCUAACUCCGUGCCAGCAGCCGCGGUAAUACGGAGGAUCCGAGCGUUAUCCGGAUUUAUUGGGUUUAAAGGGAGCGUAGAUGGGUUGUUAAGUCAGUUGUGAAAGUUUGCGGCUCAACCGUAAAAUUGCAAUUGAUACUGGCAGUCUUGAGUACAGUUGAGGUAGGCGGAAUUCGUGGUGUAGCGGUGGAAUGCUUAGAUAUCACGAAGAACCCCGAUUGCGAAGGCAGCUUACUAAACUGUGACUGACAUUGAUGCUCGAAAGUGUGGGUAUCAAACAGGAUGAGAUACCCUAGUAGUC
RNAcentral lists this ribosomal RNA (460 nucleotides) under uncultured bacterium. RNAcentral's name for it is "partial 16S ribosomal RNA". It matches the Rfam family "Bacterial small subunit ribosomal RNA", at positions 338 to 795 of the family's 1533-position model. The record is from RNAcentral.